This is a long non-coding RNA of Chelonia mydas (Green sea turtle), 1972 nucleotides long. RefSeq lists it as uncharacterized. The transcript has 5 exons. Lineage: Eukaryota; Metazoa; Chordata; Testudines; Cheloniidae. The record is from RefSeq and is a predicted model, not a curated record.
GCUUUCUAACACAAUAAACUCCAUACCUCUUAGAACAACUUCCUAAGAGCACAGAAUAUACCAGCUGCAAGAAUACAUGGCAACUUGGAAAUCAUCCUCCACUCUUCAAAAAGCAGGAAUAUAGGGGACCACAUCAUUUUGCCACCGCUACCCCAUAAAAGGUAUGCUGCGUGCACGAUACUGAUCCACUCUGCUUUUCUCCACGUGGACUGCUUCUGUGUUGCUCUCUUAUUGAUGUCUGCAUAACCUGUAAUCAAGAAUAAAACAUAAAAUCAUUACUGAUAAAGCUUGCAUAUGAUGCAAAAUCUGGGGGAAGCAGUAAAUAAAGAAGAGGACAGAUCACUGAUACAGAGCAAUCUGGAUUGCUUGGGAAACAGGACACAAGCAAAGGUUAUGUUUUCUAAUACAACUAUAUGUAAGAUCAUACAUCAAGGAACAAAGAAUGUAGGCAACACCUGCAGGAUGGGGGACUCUAUCCUACGAAGCAGGAACUCUGUAAAAGACUUUGGGGUUAUGGUGAACAAUCAGCUGAACAUGAGCACCCAGUGCCACACUGUCACCCAAAGGGCUAAUAUGAACUUUGGAGUUAUGAAUAGGAAAUAUCAUGUAGGACUAGGAAGGUUAGACCCCCUAUUACAUGGGUUCAUUGAGUCUGUUCCGAUGUUGGACUCUCAGGCCAUCAAGCCUUUGUGAUUAUGCAGGAACUGACUAAAUGGCGAAUGAUCACUACGGCCGACUAUCUGGGUAAGCACUGAAAAAGAAGAAAAGAGGGCUGACAGUUCAUAACCACCAGAGACAAGAGGUCAUGACAGCAUUUUACAUGGCUAGAGACAGAUGAGGAUGGGCAGGCUGUGACCACCAGAUAGAAGAGGACCAGUAGAAAUUCCACACAGUUAGAAGCUUCCAAUCAGUACCAUGUCCUUAUUGUGGAAACUAUGGAAGAUACCUCUCAAGAUCGAGCUGUUCCAAGAGACUGGAGAGAUGUACCUAUGGAUGGAAGCUUGGCACAACCUGUAAGAAAAUCAGGUUUGCCCACAAAGAGUUGUCCAACUGAUCUAGGAAGAUAGAUGAUCCUUGUUGGUCAUUCAACACUCCAAAGAAUCAAAAGAACAUUCUGUAAGGGACAGGUGGACAACGAGAUGGUGAGCUGUCUUCCCAGAGCUAAGACAUGAGACAUCACUCUAAGACUGGAUAGACUUCUGAAGUCGAUGAGCAAGCAUGCUUUGGUGAUGGUUCAAUAUUAGCAUUAAUGACACUGAGGCACAGGAUAUCUCACAGAUAAUAGGGAACUUCAAAGAAUGCAUAAGUGUGCUGAAGAAGAAGAAGAUUGUCCAAGAGAUCAUCUCUAACAUCAUUCCUGUCCCAAAACUGAAAGAAGACAGAAAGCAGAAAAUCUGUAGCACCUAAGAACCCCAGUCAAGGAUCGGGGCCCAGUUGUGUUAGGGGCUGUACAAACACACAACAAAAGACAGUCCUUCACCUGAAGAGCUGAUAGUCUAAAUAAUAUUAAAGAGCUGCUGAUGCCUUCCAGUUUCUAGGCCAAGUUCAGAGAUGAUGAACUGCAUACAAUGGAGACUUCUCAGAGAGAACAUGUAGACAACAGAGACUGUUUGACCAAUGGAUAAUGACUAACCCAUCUCACAGUAAAGAUCUUUCCAACAAGCUGGAAAAAACUAUAAAAGAGAGGAAGUAACAUCAUCACUUGGCCUCACUCCCCCAACAACUCAACCCCUGGAAACAUGUCUGGAGGACAAAGACUUUGAACUGGGAGAGGGUGGCCUGAGACAAUAACAGGUUCAAGCCUGUUAUUAAGGAUCUGUGAUCUGUUUGUACCAUCUGUCAGGGUGAGACACUCUUGAUUCAAAUCCUGUUUACUUUGUAGAACUCAGACUAUGAAUUUAUUUUUGUUUCUUAAGUAACCAACUCUGAUUCCAAGCCUGCUACUUAUAAUUAAUUAAAAUCUAUAUUUCUA